RNAcentral lists this ribosomal RNA (253 nucleotides) under uncultured bacterium. Its description in RNAcentral is "partial 16S ribosomal RNA". It matches the Rfam family "Bacterial small subunit ribosomal RNA", at positions 524 to 776 of the family's 1533-position model. The record is from RNAcentral.
UACGGAGGGUGCGAGCGUUGUUCGGAAUCACUGGGCGUAAAGCGCGUGUAGGCGGCCCACUAAGUCUGAUGUGAAAGCCCGGGGCUCACCCCCGGAAGUGCAUUGGAAACUGGUGGACUCGAGUCCCGGAGAGGAGAGUGGAAUUCCUGGUGUAGCGGUGAAAUGCGUAGAUAUCAGGAGGAACACCGGUGGCGAAGGCGGCUCUCUGGACGGUGACUGACGCUGAGACGCGAAAGCAUGGGGAGCAAACAGG